UAAUUCAAAUUAUUCCAAAAUAUUUGUCUAAAAAGUUUUAAAUAAUAAAUAACUGUGUAUAUUUUAUACGAUUAAUAUUAGAUAAAUUAAUGGAUUAAUUUCAUAAAGAUUCCUACAAACAUAAUGAAUGACAAAUAUAUUCUUACAAAGUUAAACUUUUAUAUAUUUUUUCUACAAAAAUUUUAAUAUUUUCAAAUAUAUCUCUAUGAUUUGUUACGAUUAGAGAACCGUUAAAAAACUAUUCAUAUUUUCAAUUUUGCCAUCACAAAUAUGUUCAUCCAAAAGUCAUAACAGUAUGAUAUAAGAAGAAUAAAAAUGUUAAAAAUUAACUAGUCUUAAGCAUUUAACUUAUUGUUAACUAAACUAUUUUAACAGAUUUUAACGGCAGGAAUAUAUUUAAAAAUAUCAAGAUUUUUGUAAGAACAACAUAUGAAAAUUGAACUUUAUAGGGGCAUAUUUGCUAUUUACUAUGUUUGUAGGGACUUGUAUAAAAUUAACCCUAAAUUGAAAGUAAAAUAAAAAUGUUUAAAAAAUUUAAAAAUAUACAUAAAUAAAGACUUUUGGGGAUUG
This 570-nucleotide long non-coding RNA is filed under the name Ananas comosus (pineapple). Its description in RNAcentral is "long non-coding RNA (ACOM_LNC009632)". The record is from RNAcentral. Lineage: Eukaryota; Viridiplantae; Streptophyta; Magnoliopsida; Poales; Bromeliaceae.